Molecule: small nuclear RNA, 106 nt
Organism: Myodes glareolus (Bank vole)
Lineage: Eukaryota; Metazoa; Chordata; Mammalia; Rodentia; Cricetidae
Source: RefSeq, a predicted model, not a curated record
UGACCAAUAGAGCAAUCACUUAGCACAUAUUGGAAGGAUACAGCAAAGAUUAUUAUAGCCCCUGUGCAAGGCUGACAUGAAAAUCUGUGAAGCAUUACAUAGUUUU